GCCUGGUCGGCUUAGUCGGUUAAGCACCCGACUUUGGCUCAGGUCAUGAUCUUACAGUUUGUGGGUUUGAGCCCCUCAUCAGGUU
RNAcentral lists this transfer RNA (85 nucleotides) under Felis catus (domestic cat). It matches the Rfam family "tRNA". Rfam says of the family: Transfer RNA (tRNA) molecules are approximately 80 nucleotides in length. Their secondary structure includes four short double-helical elements and three loops (D, anti-codon, and T loops). The record is from Rfam by way of RNAcentral. Lineage: Eukaryota; Metazoa; Chordata; Mammalia; Carnivora; Felidae.